Molecule: ribosomal RNA, 315 nt
Filed under: uncultured bacterium
Lineage: Bacteria
Description: bacterial SSU rRNA
Rfam family: Bacterial small subunit ribosomal RNA
Source: RNAcentral
GACGAACGCUGGCGGCGCGCCUAACACAUGCAAGUCGAACGGAGUUAUUUGAAAGCUUGCUUUUGGAUAACUGAGUGGCGGACGGGUGAGUAACGCGUGAGUAACCUGCCUUAAAGAGGGGGAUAACGUCUGGAAACGGACGCUAAUACCGCAUAAGCCCACGGAACCGCAUGGUUCUGGGGGAAAAGGAGCAAUUCGCUUUGGGAUGGACUCGCGUCCGAUUAGCUAGAUGGUGAGGUAACGGCCCACCAUGGCGACGAUCGGUAGCCGGACUGAGAGGUUGAUCGGCCACAUUGGGACUGAGACACGGCCCAG